RNAcentral lists this ribosomal RNA (425 nucleotides) under uncultured bacterium. Its description in RNAcentral is "partial 16S ribosomal RNA". It matches the Rfam family "Bacterial small subunit ribosomal RNA", at positions 354 to 796 of the family's 1533-position model. The record is from RNAcentral.
GUGGGGAAUCUUAGACAAUGGGGGAAACCCUGAUCUAGCCAUGCCGCGUGAGCGAUGAAGGCCUUAGGGUUGUAAAGCUCUUUCAGCUGGGAAGAUAAUGACUGUACCAGCAGAAGAAGCCCCGGCUAACUCCGUGCCAGCAGCCGCGGUAAUACGGAGGGGGCUAGCGUUGUUCGGAAUUACUGGGCGUAAAGCGCGCGUAGGCGGACUGAAAAGUUGGGGGUGAAAUCCCGGGGCUCAACCUCGGAACUGCCUUCAAAACUAUCAGUCUGGAGUUCGAGAGAGGUGAGUGGAAUGCCGAGUGUAGAGGUGAAAUGCGUAGAUAUUCGGAGGAACACCAGUGGCGAAGGCGGCUCACUGGCUCGAUACUGACGCUGAGGUGCGAAAGCGUGGGGAGCAAACAGGAUUAGAAACCCUGGUAGUCC